CAAGAUCUGGGUUAUAUCUUGCAGAAGAUUCUUCUAGAGAAAAAGAAAAUCGAGAGGCUAACAGUAACUUUGCACUCAAUUGAUUCUCAGCCGUCAAACAAACACGUAUACUAUGCUGAAGACAGGGAAGAGUGUUAAAUUACCACCUUUUGAGGACCUGUCUGAUAAAAUUAAAAGGUAAAGUAACCUGUUAGGUUGCUUGUAUAUGUAUAUAUUUGUAUAAUAAAGAUGUUAUUUGAAUCGAACAAAUGUUGAU
This is a long non-coding RNA of Erigeron canadensis, 256 nucleotides long. RefSeq lists it as uncharacterized. The transcript has 3 exons. Lineage: Eukaryota; Viridiplantae; Streptophyta; Magnoliopsida; Asterales; Asteraceae. The record is from RefSeq and is a predicted model, not a curated record.